Molecule: ribosomal RNA, 253 nt
Filed under: uncultured bacterium
Lineage: Bacteria
Description: partial 16S ribosomal RNA
Rfam family: Bacterial small subunit ribosomal RNA
Source: RNAcentral
UACGUAGGGUCCGAGCGUUGUCCGGAAUUAUUGGGCGUAAAGGGCUCGUAGGCGGUCUGUUGCGUCGGGAGUGAAAACUUACAGCUUAACUGUGAGCGUGCUUCCGAUACGGGCAGACUUGAGGUAUUCAGGGGAGAACGGAAUUCCUGGUGUAGCGGUGAAAUGCGCAGAUAUCAGGAGGAACACCGGUGGCGAAGGCGGAUCUCUGGGCCUUACCUGACGCUCAGGUGCAAAAGCUAGGGGAGCGAACAGG